RNAcentral lists this long non-coding RNA (2250 nucleotides) under Gossypium barbadense (sea-island cotton). RNAcentral describes it as "long non-coding RNA (GBAR_LNC004980)". The record is from RNAcentral. Lineage: Eukaryota; Viridiplantae; Streptophyta; Magnoliopsida; Malvales; Malvaceae.
UUGAGAACCAUGAACCAAAAAACAUCGAAGAAGCUUUAAUGGAGCAAAAUGCAGAAAACCAGACAUGACAGAAUACAACACUCUCAUUGUAAACAACACAUGGUAUUUAGUUGAAUUACCACCUGAUCGCAAAUCGAUAGGGUGCAAGUGGCUCUUCAAGUUAAAGAACAACCCGAAUGUCACAAUGGCAAGAUAUAAGGCGAGACUAGUUGGUAAAGGCUUCUUUCUAGUCCUAGGCACGAUUUUCGUGAAACCUAUAGCCCAGUAGUUAAAUUUGCUACCGCCAACAUGUUUCUUGCUUUGGCAACCUAUAAUUACUGGAAUCUAAGACACAUCGAUAUCAACAAUGCAUUCCUAAAAGGAGACUUAUUUGAGGAUAUCUAUAUGACUCAACCUCCUGAUUUUGAGCAAAACUUUGAUGACGGUAAAACUUUAGUUUGAAAACUUCAUAAAGCUAUAUAUGGCCUGCGUCAAGCACCAAGAAACUGGUUCCACAAACUACAAAAAUUUCUUAUUACCAUUGGUUUCACUUCUUCUAAAACGGAGACCUCAUUAUUUAUUCUUAAAGAUGGAGAAAAUAUCACUUACAUGAUUGUGUAUGUGGAUGAUAUACUGCUAACAAGAAACUCUCACGUGACAACCGAAAAUACAGUAGAACAACUUCACAAACAGUUUUCCUUGAAGGACUUAAGUAGCCCUGCGUAUUUUUUGGGAAUUGAAGUUCAUUCUAUUGGUAAUGGUAUCUUCAUCAACCAAAAGAAAUACACCUUGGACUUGCUUGCUCAAACCAACAUGAUGAAUAGUCAACCUACACCAACACCAAUGGCAGUUGGCAAGAAACUGGCUAAAAAUGAUGGUAAUGCCCUUAGUGAUCCUCAACACUAUAGAAGCAUAGUAAGGUCACUGCAAUACCUCUGCCACACAAGGCCAAAAAUAUCAUACAGUGUCAACAAGGUUGCUCAAUAUAUGCAAGAUCCUAGAGAGUCUCACUGGGUUGCUGUCAAAUAAAUUCUUCGCUAUUUAAAAGGCACCUUAGAUCAUGGGUUGGUGUUCACUGCUGGUAAAAUAAUAAACCUCACAGCAUACACCGAUGCCGACUUGGGAAGUGAUGUCAAUGACCGAAAAUCAACAUCGGGUCAUUGUGUUCUUCUAAGACCCAACAUUAUUUCAUGGAGUUCCAAAAAACAAAGGUCUGUCUCUCGAUCGACUGCGGAAGCAGAAUACAGAAGCCUUGCUGAUAUGGCCUCAGAAAUUAUAUGGUUACAGUCCCUGUUAGCAGACUUCCAAAUCAACUUAAUUGAACCACCCAAAAUUUGGUGUGACAAUUCAAGCACUGUUGCCAUGGCUGCCAACCCAAUUCUACACUCGAAAACAAAACAUGUUGAUUUGGAUAUUCACUUUGUUCGUGAAAAGGUGCUCAAUAACCAAAUUCAUGUUGGAUAUGUUCCAGCAAAACAUCAAGCUGCUGAUGUCUUCACUAAACCUCUCCUGACCAAGGCAUUCCAAGAAUAACGAGAGAAGUUGUGUGUCAUCCCUUAGAUGAAGCUACCACUCUUCUUAACAAGGAAAAAAGACAGAAAACAUAGCCAAUAUUAUAUGCAUAUUGUACAAGCUCAAUUUUGGGCCCAAAACCCCUAAACCCACUAAGCCAAUAACCCCAAACCUACCCAUGCCCACACACACAACAAAAGAAAAAGCUAAGGAAACCCUAACCGUCAGCACAUGCUCCCCACCCCAUCCACCACCGUCGCCUGCAAGUGGCCUCUGCUCCACCACCGUUUGCCUGCAGCAACAACAGAAGAAUAGACAAAUAUUAAAAGAAAAAGAAAUGUAAUGGCUAUUUAAAGCCAAAUCAAAGAACCAUGUAAAGGGGGAUUUUUUUUUUUAAAUGAAAAAGCAAUAUUAGAUUAUAAACAAAAAAAACACAAUAUUAGUCAGUAAAGAACAAAAGAAGCGACAUCAAAAUAAACCCAAAGCCCUCAGAAAUCAAACCCGUACCUAAGGUGAUUUCCUUUUAUUUUUCCAUUUUUUUCGAGUUUCUUUAUAUACAUAAACAUAUAAUAUAAGUAAAAAUAACUUACAUAUAUUAAACAAGUAUAAAAUAAAAAAAAGAGAAAAAAAUUUACCCUCGGCGGUGGCCGGCUCGAUGGACGACGCGGCGGCGGACGGCUGACUCCUCGCCGAUUUCUGGGCUUGCACAGAGAAAAAGUAAGAAAGAGAACAUUUUUUUUCUAAACAGAAAGGAAGAAU